Rhincodon typus (whale shark) is the source of this 395-nucleotide long non-coding RNA. RefSeq lists it as uncharacterized. The transcript is spliced from 3 exons. Lineage: Eukaryota; Metazoa; Chordata; Chondrichthyes; Orectolobiformes; Rhincodontidae. The record is from RefSeq and is a predicted model, not a curated record.
CUGGCAAGGCACAGGACAGCAAAUCAUUUCAAACGCUGCAUGAAAAGAUGAUGCUAUUUUUGACAUCCCCAAGAAAAGAAAACACAUUUCAACACUCGUCACUGUACAGUUGGCACAGCUAUUGCUUUUGAUUGAGGUUUGAUGAAUUAGUUGCAGUUUCAAAAUCUGACAAAGAUUAACCACAUAAUCUCUCAGCAAGGAGGAUGUUGCCGUCACCUGGGAUCAUAAGUUUUAGGUGAUCAACUGAAAUUUGUGCCAAGACAUAAUCCAAGGAGAGAGAGAUCGGAGAGUAAAGGUCAUGAGAGUUCAACACUUCAACUGAAGAUCAAUUCACAGCUCAGUCACCCCUGCGAGGCAUUUGACUGAAACACGUGCUGUGCUUUCUUGCAAAUAGC